CAUCGGAAUCUGUUACUGUUUC
RNAcentral lists this microRNA (22 nucleotides) under Pinus taeda (loblolly pine). RNAcentral's name for it is "pta-miR947". Its record names the gene pta-miR947. The record is from miRBase by way of RNAcentral. Lineage: Eukaryota; Viridiplantae; Streptophyta; Pinopsida; Pinales; Pinaceae. RNAcentral also lists the same sequence under 1 other name.